AGUGUAGUUAUAGCUGCAUUAUUUGACGUUAGCGACAGAAGAAAGCACCGGCUAACUCCGUGCCAGCAGCCGCGGUAAUACGGAGGUGCGAGCGUUAAUACGGAAUUACGUGGACGGUAAAGACGCAUGCAGGUGGUUUGUUAAGUCAGAUGUAGAAAGACCCGGGGCGUCAACCUACGGAAUAGCAUUAGUAAACUAGGCAGACUAGAGUACUGUAGAGGGGGGUAGGAAUUUCAGGUGUAGCGGUGAAAUGCGUAGAGAUCUGAAGGAAUACCGGUGGCGAAGGCGGCCCCCUGGACAGAUACUGACACUCAGAUGCGAAAGCGUGGGGAGCAAACAGGAUUAGAUACCCUGGUAG
RNAcentral lists this ribosomal RNA (358 nucleotides) under uncultured bacterium. Its description in RNAcentral is "bacterial SSU rRNA". It matches the Rfam family "Bacterial small subunit ribosomal RNA", at positions 449 to 793 of the family's 1533-position model. The record is from RNAcentral.